RNAcentral lists this ribosomal RNA (729 nucleotides) under uncultured Bacteroidales bacterium. Its description in RNAcentral is "bacterial SSU rRNA". It matches the Rfam family "Bacterial small subunit ribosomal RNA", at positions 58 to 776 of the family's 1533-position model. The record is from RNAcentral. Lineage: Bacteria; Pseudomonadati; Bacteroidota; Bacteroidia; Bacteroidales.
CAAGUCGAGGGGCAGCAUGGUCUUAGCUUGCUAAGACUGAUGGCGACCGGCGCACGGGUGAGUAACACGUAUCCAACCUGCCGUCUACUCUUGGACAGCCUUCUGAAAGGAAGAUUAAUACAAGAUGGCAUCAUGAGUCCGCAUGUUCACAUGAUUAAAGGUAUUCCGGUAGACGAUGGGGAUGCGUUCCAUUAGAUAGUAGGCGGGGUAACGGCCCACCUAGUCUUCGAUGGAUAGGGGUUCUGAGAGGAAGGUCCCCCACAUUGGAACUGAGACACGGUCCAAACUCCUACGGGAGGCAGCAGUGAGGAAUAUUGGUCAAUGGGCGAGAGCCUGAACCAGCCAAGUAGCGUGAAGGAUGACUGCCCUAUGGGUUGUAAACUUCUUUUAUAAAGGAAUAAAGUCGGGUAUGUAUACCCGUUUGCAUGUACUUUAUGAAUAAGGAUCGGCUAACUCCGUGCCAGCAGCCGCGGUAAUACGGAGGAUCCGAGCGUUAUCCGGAUUUAUUGGGUUUAAAGGGAGCGUAGAUGGAUGUUUAAGUCAGUUGUGAAAGUUUGCGGCUCAACCGUAAAAUUGCAGUUGAUACUGGAUAUCUUGAGUGCAGUUGAGGCAGGCGGAAUUCGUGGUGUAGCGGUGAAAUGCUUAGAUAUCACGAAGAACUCCGAUUGCGAAGGCAGCCUGCUAAGCUGCAACUGACAUUGAGGCUCGAAAGUGUGGGUAUCAAACAGG